RNAcentral lists this ribosomal RNA (253 nucleotides) under uncultured bacterium. RNAcentral's name for it is "partial 16S ribosomal RNA". It matches the Rfam family "Bacterial small subunit ribosomal RNA", at positions 524 to 776 of the family's 1533-position model. The record is from RNAcentral.
UACGGAGGGUGCAAGCGUUGUCCGGAUUUAUUGGGUUUAAAGGGUGCGUAGGCGGCCGAUUAAGUCUGGGGUGAAAGCCCGUUGCUCAACAACGGAACUGCCCUGGAAACUGGUCGGCUUGAGUACAGACGAGGGUGGCGGAAUGGAUGGUGUAGCGGUGAAAUGCUUAGAGAUGACCCGGAACACCGAUUGCGAAGGUAGCCCACUACGCAAUGAUUGACGCUGAGGCACGAAAGCGUGGGGAUCAAACAGG